UACGUAGGGUGCGAGCGUUAAUCGGAAUUACUGGGCGUAAAGCGUGCGCAGGCGGUUCUCCAAGUCCGGUGUGAAAGCCCCGGGCUCAACCUGGGAAUGGCAGUGGAAACUAGGGGACUGGAAUCUGGCAGAGGGGGGUGGAAUGCCGCGUGUAGCAGUGAAAUGCGUAGAGAUGUGGAGGAACACCGAUGGCGAAGGCAGCCCCCUGGGCUAACACUGACGCUCAUGCACGAAAGCGUGGGGAGCAAACAGG
This 253-nucleotide ribosomal RNA is filed under the name uncultured bacterium. RNAcentral describes it as "partial 16S ribosomal RNA". It matches the Rfam family "Bacterial small subunit ribosomal RNA", at positions 524 to 776 of the family's 1533-position model. The record is from RNAcentral.